CCCUUGGAGGCGUGGCUUCCGGAGCUAACGCGUUAAAUCGACCGCCUGGGGAGUACGGCCGCAAGGUUAAAACUCAAAUGAAUUGACGGGGGCCCGCACAAGCGGUGGAGCAUGUGGUUUAAUUCGAUGCAACGCGAAGAACCUUACCUGGUCUUGACAUCCACAGAACUUUCCAGAGAUGGAUUGGUGCCUUCGGGAACUGUGAGACAGGUGCUGCAUGGCUGUCGUCAGCUCGUGUUGUGAAAUGUUGGGUUAAGUCCCGCAACGAGCGCAACCCUUAUCCUUUGUUGCCAGCGGUUCGGCCGGGAACUCAAAGGAGACUGCCAGUGAUAAACUGGAGGAAGGUGGGGAUGACGUCAAGUCAUCAUGGCCCUUACGACCAGGGCUACACACGUGCUACAAUGGCAUAUACAAAGAGAAGCGACCUCGCGAGAGCAAGCGGACCUCAUAAAGUAUGUCGUAGUCCGGAUUGGAGUCUGCAACUCGACUCCAUGAAGUCGGAAUCGCUAGUAAUCGUAGAUCAGAAUGCUACGGUGAAUACGUUCCCGGGCCUUGUACACACCGCCCGUCACACCAUGGGAGUGGGUUGCAAAAGAAGUAGGUAGCUUAACCUUCGGGAGGGCGCUUACCACUUUGUGAUUCAUGACUGGGGUGAAGUCGUAACAAGGU
RNAcentral lists this ribosomal RNA (669 nucleotides) under Klebsiella pneumoniae. RNAcentral's name for it is "bacterial SSU rRNA". It matches the Rfam family "Bacterial small subunit ribosomal RNA", at positions 829 to 1497 of the family's 1533-position model. Lineage: Bacteria; Pseudomonadati; Pseudomonadota; Gammaproteobacteria; Enterobacterales; Enterobacteriaceae. The record is from RNAcentral.